RNAcentral lists this non-coding RNA (228 nucleotides) under Paenibacillus antarcticus. RNAcentral describes it as "GlcN6P sequence". It matches the Rfam family "glmS glucosamine-6-phosphate activated ribozyme aptamer". Rfam says of the family: This entry contains a glucosamine-6-phosphate activated ribozyme that is found in the mRNA for GlmS. The record is from Rfam by way of RNAcentral. Lineage: Bacteria; Bacillati; Bacillota; Bacilli; Caryophanales; Paenibacillaceae.
UGUAUAUUAAAAGCGCCAGAACUUGACUAGCGCGGGAUGUAAGAUGGACCGAGGGUAUGGAUGAGUACGAUCCGUUUCGGUGCCUGAUUACAACGGCAGAUCAAGUUGACGAGGUGGGGGUGUUCGAAAUGUUCGGCGGGGACCUCCCGGUGAUGCACCAGAGCCGUGAAUCAUAUACGGAAAAUAAGCGGGCGACUGCUCAUACAACGUAGUGAUGGGUGCUAAUUA